GAGGCGGGGGCCACCGGUGGGGGCGGCGUUCGGAGCGCCGUUCGGGGCGGAGCCCGGCCCGGAUCCCGGCCGCUCCGC
Molecule: transfer RNA, 78 nt
Filed under: Planomonospora antibiotica
Lineage: Bacteria; Bacillati; Actinomycetota; Actinomycetes; Streptosporangiales; Streptosporangiaceae
Description: Planomonospora parontospora subsp. antibiotica tRNA-Pro
Source: RNAcentral